CCCAACUCGACCAAAUUAAAAGCUUGGAAGCAGCACUGGGAUGCUUUGAGUCAGGAGGAGAGAAAUGACUUUAACGACCAAUCAAAACUUUGGCAAGUGAGCCGCUGGAUAAUGUGCAAGUACAUGAAAGGAAGAGGUAUCUCGUGAAGUCUGCAAUUAUGUUGAUGGACAGCUUCCAAGAGGUUGGAAUGGAGGGCUACCUGCUCUUAGUUGACCCUAUGGCAAAGGCAAAUGAGUUCAAUUACUUCAGUGGUGGUACUGCUGUUGGGAAAAAAUUCUAAGACUCCACAGAGGGCAGAGCACAGUCAGAUUUUAAUCUCUAUUGCUGUGUUCACACUAGCCUUUUAUGCGCAUCGAAUGCGCAUUAAAGCCUUAAGUCGCUAAAACGCGUCACACUCAAUGCGCAUUAAACCAAAACUAAGCCGCUUUAGCGAAACCGCAUUUCUAAUGCGCAUUGGCUGAAGCGAUAUAACUGACGCGCAUCACAAUUACAAGUGUGACCCACUUUAAUUCGCGUUAAGCAUUGAGCGCGUUAAGAUCGAACAGCGCUUGCGCAGUGCAGUACUUCCGUUUUAUCGCAUGGGGAAAGCAUUUGUGCUUGUCGAUCAGCUUUUACGUUCAUUUUCCGUUUAAUUCUUGAUAUAUCAUGGCAAAAUCUUCGGCAAAAGCAAGAGGGUAAACUUGGGGACGCCAGGAGAGACUGCUGCUAUUGCAGAUCUGGCGGAAUGAAGACGUUGAAGGCCAGGUAGGUGGCCUACACCGUAACAUUAAUGUCUUCGGAGAAGUGGCGAAGCUCCUUCAAAUUCGAGGUGGAUAUGAGCGGACGGCGGAACAGUGCCGCAACAAGUUGAAGGCCAUGCGGCUUGCAUGGUCCAAACAAAACGAUCUUAACAAUAAAUCGGGGACAUCAGGGGGUAGAACGGGUGGAUUCGAUGAGGAGGAGUGGGGUAUCCUCGAUGACGUCCUUGGUCAAAGGCCUAUCCACAACCCCCCAAAUCUUGUGGACACCCUGUCAUUGACGUCAACUCAACCGACUCGGGUAGACCAUGCAGACAGUGAAGAGGAGAGUGAGCGAGAAUCGGAUGUGUCCUUGCUAUCGACCAUGGACACUUCAUCAGGCUCCCUGCAAGAAGACCGAUCUCUCUGGGUUUUCCCAAGGCCUGCCUCCAGUCUGUCCACUGACAGUACUGCUAGGUAUCUACCGAAACUCCUGAACGUGAACCUAAAAUUAACGUUACGUUUCGUCCAGGCUUGUAACCUCGGCUUUGAUUGGUGAGGCAGGUACUUAUCAACAGGGCAGCGCUGUAGUGACGUAGGGCAUGGAAGGUUCACAUCCUGAUUGGUUGUCACCAUGGCCCGCAGACCGCCCACCAAAUUAUUUCGAACAUCUUAUAUCAUGGAUCCGACUUCAGUCUUGCGUAACGUCCACUUCGGGACACUGGCAUUACCUAUUGACCUUUCCUUGUAUAAAUGGCAAA
Long non-coding RNA from Lineus longissimus, 1478 nucleotides. RefSeq lists it as uncharacterized. The record is from RefSeq and is a predicted model, not a curated record. NCBI's taxonomy places the organism in Eukaryota, Metazoa, Nemertea, Pilidiophora, Heteronemertea, Lineidae. The transcript has 3 exons.